RNAcentral lists this long non-coding RNA (212 nucleotides) under Mytilus galloprovincialis (Mediterranean mussel). Lineage: Eukaryota; Metazoa; Mollusca; Bivalvia; Mytilida; Mytilidae. The record is from RNAcentral.
GAAAUGGGGAAUGUGCCAAAGAGACAACAACCCGACCAUAGAAAAAAACAACAGCAGAAGGUCACCAACAGGUCUUCAAUGUAGCGAGAAAUUCCCGCACCCGGAGGCGUCCUUCAACUGGCCCCUAAACAAAUAUAUACUAGUUCAGUGAUAAUGAACGCCAUACUAAUUUCCAAAUUGUACACAAGAAACUAAAAUUAAAAUAAUACAAG